RNAcentral lists this ribosomal RNA (429 nucleotides) under Actinomycetes bacterium. RNAcentral describes it as "Actinobacteria bacterium partial 16S ribosomal RNA". It matches the Rfam family "Bacterial small subunit ribosomal RNA", at positions 355 to 776 of the family's 1533-position model. The record is from RNAcentral. Lineage: Bacteria; Bacillati; Actinomycetota; Actinomycetes.
UAGGGAAUCUUCCGCAAUGGGCGAAAGCCUGACGGAGCAACGCCGCGUGAGUGAUGAAGGUCUUCGGAUCGUAAAACUCUGUUAUUAGGGAAGAACAAAUGUGUAAGUAACUAUGCACGUCUUGACGGUACCUAAUCAGAAAGCCACGGCUAACUACGUGCCAGCAGCCGCGGUAAUACGUAGGUGGCAAGCGUUAUCCGGAAUUAUUUGGCGUAAAGCGCGCGUAGGCGGUUUUUUAAGUCUGGUGUGAAAGCCCACGGCUCAACCGUGGAGGGUCAUUGGAAGCUGGAAAACUUGGGUGCAGAAGAGGAAAGUGGAAUUCCAUGUGUAGCGGUGAAAUGCGCAGAGAUAUGGAGGAACACCAGUGGCGAAGGCGACUUUCUGGUCUGUAACUGACGCUGAUGAGCGAAAGCGUGGGGAUCAAACAGG